GGCGGAAUUAGGGUUUCGUUGAUAGCGAAGAUGACCGGGAAGGCGAAGCCGAAGAAGCACACGGCGAAGGAGAUCGCUGCCAAAGUCGACGCGGCAACGACGAACCGCGGCGGAGGCAAGGCUGGGCAGGCGGACCGCAUCGGCCUCGACAAGGGCGGCCACGCGAAGCUGGAGUGCCCCCUCUGCAAGGUAACCGCUCCCGACAUCAAGUCGAUGCAGAUCCACCACGACGCCCGCCAUCCGAAGAUCCCUUUCGACGAAACGAAGCUGAAUAACCUCCACGCCUCUACCACCGUCGUCGGCGACACCUCCAAGCCCCGCCCGGGGGUCCGCGGGUCCCUCAAGAAACCGGGAGGUAUCUAACUGGGAGCGGAUUCUGCUUGUUAAGACUCUACUAUCCACUGAAGGAAGCCCUCUUGGGGGAUUCUGCUACUCCCUUGUUCUUUUAAGUUUGGAAUAUGUGUAAUACUUAAAUAAGCUUGAUUUACUUUCUGAACCUUUCCUUGC
This 507-nucleotide unclassified non-coding RNA is filed under the name Hevea brasiliensis (rubber tree). Lineage: Eukaryota; Viridiplantae; Streptophyta; Magnoliopsida; Malpighiales; Euphorbiaceae. The record is from RNAcentral.